This 253-nucleotide ribosomal RNA is filed under the name uncultured bacterium. RNAcentral's name for it is "partial 16S ribosomal RNA". It matches the Rfam family "Bacterial small subunit ribosomal RNA", at positions 524 to 776 of the family's 1533-position model. The record is from RNAcentral.
UACGUAGGGCGCAAGCGUUAUCCGGAAUUAUUGGGCGUAAAGAGCUCGUAGGCGGUUUGUCGCGUCUGCCGUGAAAGUCCGGGGCUCAACUCCGGAUCUGCGGUGGGUACGGGCAGACUAGAGUGAUGUAGGGGAGACUGGAAUUCCUGGUGUAGCGGUGAAAUGCGCAGAUAUCAGGAGGAACACCGGUGGCGAAGGCGGAUCUCUGGGCCUUUCCUGACGCUCAGGCGCGAAAGCUAGGGGAGCGAACAGG